AACGCACAUUGCGCCCUCUGGUAUUCCGGAGGGCAUGCCUGUUCGAGCGUCAUUUCACCACUCAAGCCUGGCUUGGUAUUGGGCGCCGCGGUGUUCCGCGCGCCUCAAAGUCUCCGGCUGAGCUGUCCGUCUCCAAGCGUUGUGAUUUCAUUAAUCGCUUCGGGGUGCGGGCGGCCGCGGCCGUUAAAUCUUUCACAAGGUUGACCUCGGAUCAGGUAGGGAUACCCGCUGAACUUAA
RNAcentral lists this unclassified non-coding RNA (238 nucleotides) under uncultured fungus. RNAcentral describes it as "partial contains 5.8S ribosomal RNA, internal transcribed spacer 2, and large subunit ribosomal RNA". The stretch from base 1 to 52 matches the Rfam family "5.8S ribosomal RNA", at positions 103 to 154 of the family's 154-position model. The record is from RNAcentral. RNAcentral also lists the same sequence under 1 other name. Lineage: Eukaryota; Fungi.